Molecule: ribosomal RNA, 468 nt
Filed under: uncultured bacterium
Lineage: Bacteria
Description: partial 16S ribosomal RNA
Rfam family: Bacterial small subunit ribosomal RNA
Source: RNAcentral
GACGAACGCUGGCGGCGUGCUUAACACAUGCAAGUCGAACGGAAAGGCCCUGCUUUUGUGGGGUGCUCGAGUGGCGAACGGGUGAGUAACACGUGAGUAACCUGCCCUUGACUUUAGGAUAACUUCAGGAAACUGGGGCUAAUACCGGAUAGGAGCUCCUGCUGCAUGGUGGGGGUUGGAAAGUUUCGGCGGUUGGGGAUGGACUCGCGGCUUAUCAGCUUGUUGGUGGGGUAGUGGCUUACCAAGGCUUUGACGGGUAGCCGGCUUGAGAGGGUGACCGGCCACAUUGGGACUGAGAUACGGCCCAGACUCCUACGGGAGGCAGCAGUGGGGAAUAUUGCACAAUGGGCGGAAGCCUGAUGCAGCAACGCCGCGUGCGGGAUGACGGCCUUCGGGUUGUAAACCGCUUUCGCCUGUGACGAAGCGUGAGUGACGGUAAUGGGUAAAGAAGCACCGGCUAACUACGUG